RNAcentral lists this long non-coding RNA (1588 nucleotides) under Androctonus crassicauda. The record is from RNAcentral. Lineage: Eukaryota; Metazoa; Arthropoda; Arachnida; Scorpiones; Buthidae.
CAUGAAUGUAAAUAAUAAUCUAAACUUUUUUGGAUCUUAUUUUCUUCGUUUUCACUGUAUAAAUGAAAUAAAAUUAAUUGUUGAUUAUCUUUUUAUAUUUACAUAAAUGUAAAUGAAACGAUUUUUUGAAUUUAUUUAGAUUGUUUUCUUUGUUUACAUACACAGCCAAAUGUAAAAAUUCUUUUAGAACAAAGAACGUCUUCCUGUGUGUGACAAUACCUGUUGUGUAGUUGUUUUCGAGAAUUUCGAUAGUGUUUAGUUGUUUUCGCUUACAUAAACGUAGUAGUGUUAUGAAAAGGAUACAGUAUUAAAGAAACUUUCACUUGUUUUUUUGUUUAUUGGAAUAUGUGUUUUAAAUAACAGGUGAAUUUCUAAAGAUAAAUUCGCUUUUUAUAGUAAACGUACUAGAGAGAGAUACACACUUGAGGUUUACAUUGUUUUCUGGCUUGUGUCCCGUUGGCACAUGUCCACUGUGGUUUUUACCUGUUUAUAAAAUCCAGGAAUUGUGUUUUAACUUUAAUUGAUGUGUAUAUGUACAUUUUAUGUAUGUACAUAAAUGUCGUCACAUAGCUCUUCUAUAAGGUCGAUUAUGAGCUUGUUGUAUAAGAUGUACUCCGAUACGAGUUGAAUGAACAAAGACCUUGACUACUUUUCGGUAUCUACGGAUUGACAAGGUUAAAAGUUCCUGUUGUGUCGCUAAAUCUAGGUCACGGUUAUACUACUGUGACUAAAAGUGGGACAUUUCUGCUCCACUUAAUUCUCUCUUUCUCGCUCCUCGAGAUAGUUUAAAAAUCAGAUAUUUUUAAAAAAUAUAAACGUUCAAAGUUCGUUCUGGGAUCGUGCACUUUGCUAACCGCGAUAGUGUGUGUGAACUCGCGUAUAUAAACAAUAUUUUCUCGUAUAUAAAUCGAUAACUCAAGGUUGUUCCAUUUAAUAAUGGAAUUUUGCCAGAAAGUCAAGGUCUGUCCGAAUUGACAGCUGUGUGUGACAUUAAUAAAUAAACCGCCACCCACGUCACAGGUGUUGGAGCAUUAUAUAUAAUUUCUUAGAUUACUACAACUGCUACGAAAUUCGGAUCGACUGGAAAUAGCAUAAAAAUCAGUUUAUUUCUUAUAAACUUGUUUUGUCUGGGCCAUUUUUUUUCCUUUCAUUUUUUUGGUGAUAAAUCGUUUUGUUAGGUGAGUCUCCUUUCUGGCUGAAUGGAGGGAAAUUUUACGUCUGGUGACGUCACGACGGAUCGACGUCACACAUCCGGGGUUUUCGGUAUUGUAGUAGUUGCUGCGACUGUUGUCAGUUGAGUUCGGCAAAUUGCUACGGCUCUAAAAAUGUCUAGAGAAAUACACAUUCGUCAGUCCAAAUCUGAUCCGAUUUUAUUAUUGCCAUCUACUGUCUGCCACCAUCAGAGUGGACUUGAUAAUCAAAACCUGCAACAACCUUUACCACUGUCUCCUAGUUGGCACCAACAGGUAUCACACAGUUGGGAUCAAGAAUUCUAUCAUAGUUUAGAAGAUUUGAACAGACAGACUAACCUCGACACAAAUAUGCUCACCAUUGAAGGCUUGAGGAGUCACUUUAAUUCUUGUUUCAG